Amazona collaria (yellow-billed parrot) is the source of this 2985-nucleotide long non-coding RNA. Lineage: Eukaryota; Metazoa; Chordata; Aves; Psittaciformes; Psittacidae. The record is from Ensembl.
AUGUCUGUGGGAAUUGCUGAUUUUUCUGUGUAUUUUUAUAUUUUUGCUCUCUUUUCACUUGUGUUUUCAGAGCCACCCCCAGGUGAUGGAUUUCCUGAUCAUGUUUGGUGCAGGAUAUUCAAUCGCUUGAUGAGAAUGUGGUUUUCAAAAGGAAGGCUAUGGCACAGUCAGUUAUUGCGUGCGCUGAGCCUGAUGCAAUCUGCGCUGGGAACCGGACCUUGGACCGGGGCCAUCGAGACAAGGAGAACAGAAGCUGACACCCUUUGGGUGGAGGAUUUCAGGCAGAGCAGAUCCCCAGCCCUGCUCCUGCCAUAUUCCUCCUUGUGUCAGCAUGCAGGAGUCAGCCAGCCACCGCAGGGACAGGGCACCUUGCAUGGCGGAAUCACAGCCUGGCGCAGUGCCCACGGAGCAGGUCCUGCCUGUGGCAGGCAGAUGGACCGGCAGAAGUGCUGCUCACUGGGGGAAAAGGGAACCCGUCCUUCCCGUGGGAGAUCAGCCCCUUCCCUGGUGGUGGGACACCCCUGGGAACCUCACGAGGGUGUCCCUGCAUACGAAGGGGAAUCAUACAGCUGCACUGGUACAGGGGCUUGCAGUUUUAGCCAGUAAGCAGCAACAGCCUCCAAGCAAGAAACAGAGGGACAGAAGGCGGCCACACAGAUCUGUCUGCUCACAUCUGCUUUUCAUUUCCCACGUGCUUUCGGGGGGUUGGUUUGGGUUGGUGGUUUGGUUCAGACAUGAGAGCUGCCGGGCUGUGACACGUGUUGCUUCUGAAGGGGGAACUUCCCAGAAGUGAAACGCUGUGGUUGAGGAAGCUUGGAAUUUUCAUGCAGAACAAAACUGGCACUGAUGUGCCUGGAGCUGGUCAGGAGAACAGGACCAUGGCCUGGGGCUUCCUGGGUUUCCUGCACUCCGCUCAACUGAAGGGCUGUAGUCUCGAGUUUUCAGAACCAAACCCUCAGGAAGCAUUGACCAACGUGGUCUGUAAUGCCGAGCAAAUAUACGAUGCCAUGUUUUAUCUAAUGGAGAAAAUUCUCAGAGAGCUUCGCACAGAUCACCCGUGAGGUGCUGGAAGAGUUAUUUAAACAGGCCGAAUGUGCUCAUUCCGGGUCAGGUAACUGCAUGAUAAAAGAAGACACAGGAACAUUUGCAAUGGCAAAGUACGUGACCAGGCAGUGCAGCAGCUACACCCAGCAGGGCGCUGAUGUCUGUGCAGCACAAAGCAGGCACCCGGGUGUUGGAACUGGGGCUAAAGAGACAAGCAAGGAGAGGUUGGUCUGAGUGCAAUGGAGAAUGCUUCAGAAAACAUCAUUGCUCAUGACAGCAUUCGAUGCACAAGUGCUAGUGCUCGCAUGAGGGGUGGAGGAAUGUGCUUCCUGGACAAAGAGACAGUGUGGGAUUUCAGAGUGGCUGCAGGGACCUCUGGAGCUCAUCUCAUCCAAUCCCUGCUCAGGCAGAGCCUCCUCGGCUGCCCAGGACCAUGGCCGGUUGGCUUUGGAAUAUCUCCAUGGGUGGAGACCCCACAACCUCCCUGGGCAACCCAUGCCAGUGCUCGGUCAUCCUCACUGGAAAAUCUGCUUCCACAUGCUGAGGGAACCUCCUGUGUUUCAGUUGUGCCCAUUGCCUCUGGUCCUGCCCUGGGGACCACUGGAAAGAGCCUGCCUCCAUCCUCUUUGCAUGUCUCUUCUGGGUAUUGGGUACAUCAGUCAGGCCCCACUGUGCCUUCUCCAUGCUGAGCAGUCCCAGUCCUCUCAGCCUUUCCUUAUAGGACAGAUGCUCCAGUCCCUUCAUCUUCAUAGCCCUUUGAUGGACUCUCUCUAGUAUGAUCAUGUCUGUCUUGUACCGUGGAGCCCAGAACUGGUUGGUGGUCGCCAGUGCUGAGUGCAGAGGAAUGAUCACCUCCCCUGACCUGCUGGCAAUGCUCCUCUUAAUGCAGCCCAGGAUGUCGGUACUCUUCUUUGCUGCGAGGGCACAUGGUUAGUUGAAGUUCGCCUCGGUGUCCACUCGGUUGCUGCACAGCAGAUCCUGGUGCCGGGGGCUGCUCCUCCCCAGGGGCAGGACUUUGCUCUUUCCCUUUGUGAACUUCCUGAUGCUCCCAGCAGCCCCUUUCUCCAUCCUGUCCAGGUCCCCUCUUGGUGCCUCUCACCUGUGCUCCUCUCUUUUGGUAGCUGCUUCCGUUUGUACCCACUCAAGCUGUUUGGACAUCGCAGUGGGACAGUGAUAUUUGCUCACUCUAACUGAGACUAUUGAAGUACUGAAGUCAACAAGCUGCUGCAAUACGGUGUGUGUGUGACAGCCUGAUCCUUACUGUCGUGUCGAAUUUGACAUAAGCAGUAUGGGCUGUUCAAGCUCGGGUUGUGCAAAAACACUGAUGAGAAUCUACCACAUAAUUACACCUUUUCUUUCUGUCUCAGAUGCCAGAGACGUGCCGCAUUUGUCUGGUAACAUAGGUCCUAUUACCGCUCACUGAUACUAGAUUUUGGAGAGCUGAACAGUGACGUUAUGAUGUUGUAUUUGCCCAGGAGAUAUAGAUAAAGACGUUUCUCUGUGACUUUUGUACAGCUGUAUCAGCUUCCUGCUUUUCUGUAAGCGAUCGCUUUUCCUGCCUUUGGGAUCUCCAGUGUCAGUGGCAGCUGAUGCUCCGGACCUGGGAAUGCCUCGUGAUUCCCAGCAGGGAAUGCCCCCCGUAGCGAAUGGUCUGCAGCAGAUCUGACGCCCAGGGUCUGCCCAGCCGGCCGCGGCGCGCCGCGUUGGCGCGGCUCCGCGCGCCCACCGUCCGUGCGCCCCCUGCAGCGUUCCAACGGGAAUGGACCAAACCGCUCCCGGGAGAGCGGCGGGGAGGCAAUUCCUCCGGGCCGCAGGGAGGCGCUGUGCGCGCCGAGCCGUGUCCAUGGCGAGGCGGCUGCCCUGGGCCAUGGCGGCGGUGUUGAGCGUCUCGGGCGGGGCCGUGUAUCGGUCCCGCGACCCCUUGCGCAACCUGCGCCUCCG